UACACUCCUGCGGGAGGCAGCAGUGGGGAAUAUUGCACAAUGGGCGCAAGCCUGAUGCAGCCAUGCCGCGUGUAUGAAGAAGGCCUUCGGGUUGUAAAGUACUUUCAGCGGGGAGGAAGGCGAUAAGGUUAAUAACCUUGUUGAUUGACGUUACCCGCAGAAGAAGCACCGGCUAACUCCGUGCCAGCAGCCGCGGUAAUACGGAGGGUGCAAGCGUUAAUCGGAAUUACUGGGCGUAAAGCGCACGCAGGCGGUCUGUCAAGUCGGAUGUGAAAUCCCCGGGCUCAACCUGGGAACUGCAUUCGAAACUGGCAGGCUAGAGUCUUGUAGAGGGGGGUAGAAUUCCAGGUGUAGCGGUGAAAUGCGUAGAGAUCUGGAGGAAUACCGGUGGCGAAGGCGGCCCCCUGGACAAAGACUGACGCUCAGGUGCGAAAGCGUGGGGAGCAAACAGGAUUAGAUACCCUUGUAGUCCC
This 473-nucleotide ribosomal RNA is filed under the name uncultured organism. RNAcentral describes it as "partial 16S ribosomal RNA". It matches the Rfam family "Bacterial small subunit ribosomal RNA", at positions 332 to 797 of the family's 1533-position model. The record is from RNAcentral.